GAACAUGGGGCCGGAAGAACACAGGGAAGACAAGGACCAGGCUCUCAGAAGGAGCUGGUGUGGGGGGAGCCAUGAGAACUGGAGGAGCAGACAGUUAUGGAGUCCCUACAAUGUGCUAGUGGAACUUUGAAGAUGAAUCUAAUUUGGAUCCUGAAAAGCCUCAAAGCCUAAUAUAGGAGCAUCAAGCAUCUAUUUCCAAGAGAAAAAGAGGCUCACGGUGUGACAUAACACUGUCUGGAAAGGUGAGUGGCCAGCCAGGCCUGGAUUUGAACCUGUG
This is a long non-coding RNA of Cebus imitator (Panamanian white-faced capuchin), 277 nucleotides long. RefSeq lists it as uncharacterized. The transcript is spliced from 3 exons. The record is from RefSeq and is a predicted model, not a curated record. Lineage: Eukaryota; Metazoa; Chordata; Mammalia; Primates; Cebidae.